Molecule: ribosomal RNA, 2526 nt
Filed under: Triticum aestivum (bread wheat)
Lineage: Eukaryota; Viridiplantae; Streptophyta; Magnoliopsida; Poales; Poaceae
Description: partial small subunit ribosomal RNA
Source: RNAcentral
AUGGGUCAUUUCCAGUUCAAGGUAAUGCCGUAUGGUCUGGCAUACGCCCCAGUUACAUUCAUGGGAAAUAUGAACAAUGUGUUAGCCCCGGUCAACCGCAAAGGUGUAGUGGUUUUCAUGGACGACAUCUUGGUCUUCACGAAAACGUUGGAGCAGCACCGAGAUCUUCUGGCUCAAGUUCUGCAACUGUUAAGACAACAUCAAUUCUAUGUCAAAUUGUCCAAGUGUUCAUUUGCUCAGCAAACAAUCAACUACUUGGGGCACUACGUGAGCAAAGAUGGGGUUUCAACCGACAAAAGCAAAGUUCAAACAGUACAAGAGUGGCCAGUGCCUGACACAGUCAAACAACUCAGAGGGUUCCUUGGUCUAGCCGGCUACUAUAGGAAGUUUGUCAAAAACUUUGGGAUUAUCUCCAAACCAUUGACAGAUCUUCUCAAGAAGAAUACGUUGUUCGUGUGGACUCCAACCGCAGACGCAGCCUUUCAGGCACUCAAACAAGCGCUAGUUGAAGCCCCGGUGUUGGCUUUGCCAGAUUUUACCAAACAGUUCGUGGUCGAGACUGACACAAGCGGCACAGGCAUUGGAGCAGUGUUAAUGCAGAACUCCCACCCCAUUACGUACCUGAGCAAAGCGCUUUCUCCGCGCAAUCUAGGGCUCUCAGCUUACGAGAAGGAGUGCCUGGCAUUGCUCCUGGCAGUUGACAGAUGGAGACCAUACCUCCAACACGCAGAAUUUGUGGUGAGGACGGACCAGAAAAGUUUGCUGCAUCUAACAGAUCAGAGAUUGCACACCCCGAUUCAGCAGCGCGCGUUCACUAAACUAGUGGGGCUGCAGUACGUCAACCAAUACAAAGCUGGGUUGGCAAACCGUGCCGCGGACGCGCUGUCUCGACGCGACCACGCUGAUGAAAGCGAGUUUGUGGCAUUGGCAGUGUGCAAACCAGCUCGGUUAGAAGCAGUCAAAAACAGCUACAAAGAUGAUCCCAACGCAACAAAGAAGCUAACCAUCUUAGCCCUGGACCCGGCCAGCGAACCAGAGUUCACAGCACAGGACGGGGUCCUUCGCUUCCAAGGCAGAAUCUGGAUUGGAGAAGACAAGCAGAUACGGCAGCACCUGAUCAACUCGCUGCACUCGAGCGCGGCUGGAGGCCACUGUGGAUUUUAUGCAACUUACAAUCGCAUCAAACGGAUGUUUGCUUGGAAGGGACUAAAGCAGCAGGUCAAACACACGGUCAGGAAUUGUCUGGUGUGUCAGCAAGCAAAGACGGAGAGGACGUCCCAGGCAGGCCUUCUUCAACCAUUGUCGAUCCCGCAGAAACCAUGGGCGAUCGUGUCGCUCGAUUUCAUUGAAGGUUUGCCCAAGUCCUGCGGAUAUGACGUGAUCUUAGUGGUGGUCGACAAGUUCUCGAAGUACGCCCACUUCAUACCCAUGACACAUCCAUACACAGCUCUUCAAGUGGCCAAGCUGUUCAUGAGAAAGAUAUUCCGUCUGCAUGGGCUGCCACUGGCUAUUAUAUCUGACAGGGACAGAGUGUUUACGAGCAAUGUCUGGCAGGAGCUGUUCAAGCUGUGUCGCACCGAGUUGCGCAUGAGUUCUUCUUACCAUCCGCAGACGGAUGGGCAGACGGAGCGAGUGAACCAAUGCCUAGAGACUUAUCUGCGAUGUGCGGUUCACGCAUGCCCGGCCAACUGGGCGAAAUGGUUAGCGCUAGCGGAAUUCUGGUACAAUACCUCCUUUCACUCAUCACUGGGCAGAACCCCAUUUGAAGUCAUAUAUGGUCACCUGCCUCGCGAGUUCGGUGUGUCGCAAGUCGACAACUGCUCGGUUCCAGACUUAGCAGCGUGGCUGCGAGAGAGGGAGAUUAUGAUGGAGCAUUUGCAACAACAGCUGAAAAAGGCGCAGGAUCGCAUGAAAGCACAGGCCGACCGACACCGAACUGAGCGUUCGUUCGAAGUCGGGGAUUCAGCGUUGCUCAAACUACAGCCGUUCAUUCAAACAUCGAUCGCUCAACGACCGUUUCAGAAGCUCGCCUUCAGGUAUUACGGCCCGUACAAGAUCAUUGCAAAGGUGGGGGCUGUCGCCUACAAGCUGGAUCUUCCAUCCACAAGUAAAAUCCACCCGGUGGUGCACGUCUCCCUACUGAAGAACGCAGAAGGCGCUGAGGUACAAGCAAACCCAGACUUACCCCCUACUAACGAGAUCUUGCAGGCGGAGCAUGUGCCAAUAGCUGUUCUCGCCACCAAGCAAGUCAGAAUGGCGAACAAGGAGAACACUCGCCUGUUGAUCCAUUGGGAAGGACUGCCAGCAUCGUUGGCAACCUGGGAAGAUCCCGCUCGUCUGCAACAACAGUUCCCUGCCACUCCGCCUUCGGGUCAAGGCGGCACUCAAGGAGGGGUGAAUGUCACGACUGAGAUGGCGACCCCGCAGCCUCUACAGGGCGCUGACGAGAUGGGGCCACAAGCCAGGGAGAACGUGGAGGAGAAGGGAAGCAGUGCGCUUACAGGUGGACCCGAGAUGGCAGGGUAG